RNAcentral lists this ribosomal RNA (375 nucleotides) under uncultured bacterium. RNAcentral's name for it is "bacterial SSU rRNA". It matches the Rfam family "Bacterial small subunit ribosomal RNA", at positions 523 to 898 of the family's 1533-position model. The record is from RNAcentral.
AUACGUAGGUGGCAAGCGUUAUCCGGAUUCACUGGGCGUAAAGCGCGUGCAGGCGGUUUCGUAAGUCGGACGUGAAAGCUCCUGGCUUAACUGGGAGAGGUCGUUCGAUACUGCGGGGCUUGAGGUCGGGAGAGGGACGUGGAAUUCCCGGUGUAGUGGUGGAAUGCGUAGAUAUCGGGAGGAACACCAGUGGCGAAGGCGACGUCCUGGCCCGCACCUGACGCUGAGACGCGAAAGCGUGGGUAGCAAACGGGAUUAGAUACCCCGGUAGUCCACGCUGUAAACGGUGGGUACUAGGUGUUGGUGGCUAUCGUCAUCAGUGCCGUAGCUAACGCGUUAAGUACCCCGCCUGGGGACUACGGCCGCAAGGCUAAA